RNAcentral lists this small nucleolar RNA (70 nucleotides) under Orchesella cincta. The record is from RNAcentral. Lineage: Eukaryota; Metazoa; Arthropoda; Collembola; Entomobryomorpha; Orchesellidae.
UGUAGAAAUGAUGACUUUUUACCGCCCCAGUCUGAAAAUUACAUGACUGAAUGGUACUUAGGUACUUAUA